AGAUGUAGCGCAGCUUGGUAGCGCACCUGCCUUGGGAGCAGGGUGUCGCAGGUUCAAAUCCUGUCAUCU
Molecule: transfer RNA, 69 nt
Filed under: Emiliania huxleyi
Lineage: Eukaryota; Haptophyta; Isochrysidales; Noelaerhabdaceae
Rfam family: tRNA
About the family: Transfer RNA (tRNA) molecules are approximately 80 nucleotides in length.
Source: RNAcentral